This 1105-nucleotide ribosomal RNA is filed under the name Enterococcus gallinarum. RNAcentral's name for it is "bacterial SSU rRNA". It matches the Rfam family "Bacterial small subunit ribosomal RNA", at positions 93 to 1186 of the family's 1533-position model. Lineage: Bacteria; Bacillati; Bacillota; Bacilli; Lactobacillales; Enterococcaceae. The record is from RNAcentral.
GAGUGGCGAACGGGUGAGUAACACGUGGGUAACCUGCCCAUCAGAAGGGGAUAACACUUGGAAACAGGUGCUAAUACCGUAUAACACUAUUUUCCGCAUGGAAGAAAGUUGAAAGGCGCUUUUGCGUCACUGAUGGAUGGACCCGCGGUGCAUUAGCUAGUUGGUGAGGUAACGGCUCACCAAGGCAACGAUGCAUAGCCGACCUGAGAGGGUGAUCGGCCACACUGGGACUGAGACACGGCCCAGACUCCUACGGGAGGCAGCAGUAGGGAAUCUUCGGCAAUGGACGAAAGUCUGACCGAGCAACGCCGCGUGAGUGAAGAAGGUUUUCGGAUCGUAAAACUCUGUUGUUAGAGAAGAACAAGGAUGAGAGUAAAAUGUUCAUCCCUUGACGGUAUCUAACCAGAAAGCCACGGCUAACUACGUGCCAGCAGCCGCGGUAAUACGUAGGUGGCAAGCGUUGUCCGGAUUUAUUGGGCGUAAAGCGAGCGCAGGCGGUUUCUUAAGUCUGAUGUGAAAGCCCCCGGCUCAACCGGGGAGGGUCAUUGGAAACUGGGAGACUUGAGUGCAGAAGAGGAGAGUGGAAUUCCAUGUGUAGCGGUGAAAUGCGUAGAUAUAUGGAGGAACACCAGUGGCGAAGGCGGCUCUCUGGUCUGUAACUGACGCUGAGGCUCGAAAGCGUGGGGAGCGAACAGGAUUAGAUACCCUGGUAGUCCACGCCGUAAACGAUGAGUGCUAAGUGUUGGAGGGUUUCCGCCCUUCAGUGCUGCAGCAAACGCAUUAAGCACUCCGCCUGGGGAGUACGACCGCAAGGUUGAAACUCAAAGGAAUUGACGGGGGCCCGCACAAGCGGUGGAGCAUGUGGUUUAAUUCGAAGCAACGCGAAGAACCUUACCAGGUCUUGACAUCCUUUGACCACUCUAGAGAUAGAGCUUCCCCUUCGGGGGCAAAGUGACAGGUGGUGCAUGGUUGUCGUCAGCUCGUGUCGUGAGAUGUUGGGGUAAGUCCCGCAACGACCGCAACCCUUAUUGUUAUUUGCCAUCAUUUAGUUGGGCAAUCUAGCGAGACUGCCGGUGACAAACCGGAGGAAGGUGGGGAUGACGUC